Nothobranchius furzeri (turquoise killifish) is the source of this 5010-nucleotide long non-coding RNA. RefSeq lists it as uncharacterized. Lineage: Eukaryota; Metazoa; Chordata; Actinopteri; Cyprinodontiformes; Nothobranchiidae. The record is from RefSeq and is a predicted model, not a curated record.
AUAUUAUCCGAAGCUGACAGAGAGUCACCCUCGCUGAUGUCGGUCUUCGUUAUCGUUCACACGUGUUGUGUGCCUUCACAGCUUUGCUGGUUUAUCCUGCGUGCCGUUGUCACUGUCUGUCUCGUUGUAACAUUUGUUGUUUUUGGCUGUGAACUGUACUUCAUGUUUGAUUUUUUAUUUAGUUGUUUUUUAUUCAUCAUUCUCCUGCUAUUUCAUGUAUUUCUUUAGCUAUGUUUUAUUUGUUGUGAUCCUUCCUUUUUCGCAUCAAAGUUGAAAUUCCAAUCCAGAAGCUCUUGAAUUCCCGAGCAUGCAUUUGUCACGAUACCGCUCCACCACAGAUUUAUUUUGUAGGUUUUAUUUGAUGUUUUCAGCUGUGAUGUUACUCCAGUUUGAGAUGAAACUCGAGCUCCAGAGGUCUGUUGUGCUGUAGUACUUUGAGGUUUCCAACCUGAAGACAUAAACAAUUCAAGCUUUCAGAGAAAUCACCAAAGGACAUUGAGUAGACUUCAUGUAUCUGUCUCGAGAUAUAAAAUAUUUCAUAUAAUAGUGUUUAAAAUAUGUAUAUAAAUAAAUCCUCUAGGAUGUAACAUAGAUGUUCUUCUUCACUUCAGCUGAGUAUGGAUCUAGAGUAAUUACCUAUUACAAAUCAUUUAAAUAGAAUAGAAUAGCCAUUGUAAUCCCAUAGUGGGGAAAUUCACUCAUGCAUGCAGUACAUACACUUAGCAAAUAGAGAAAAAAUUAUACUGUUGCAUUAUGUAAGAAUUUUCCAGUAAAAUAAUCACAAACCAAUCUGAUGUCUCAUUCAUGUUGAAAGGAAGGUUACACUGAAACAAAUUUCAUUCUCAGCCAAAUGGAGAGUUUUCUUUUUCUAAAAAGGUAGACGAGGGAUGUAGGUUCAGUCAGAGCUGUAAAGAGAGUUGCGACACUCCAAUAGAGCUCCGGGAGUUGACGUCACUUCUCCCGGCAUGCAACAGUUCAAAUCGAAACGGCGCCAUCUUGGCAGGUAGAAGCCGGCAGCUGGACUAUUUGUUACUGUCAGAAAACGCAAUCAGACAGGAAAUAUGGUAGAUUCCUGUUGUGCCCCAGGAUGCAGAACAGACACGGACGACAUAAGGAAUGAGCCAUCUACAGGAUUCCCCAAGAUCCGGAGUGCCGCAAACGUUGGAUCAUUGUAGAAAAACGCGCUAGUGACCGGGCUAAAAUGAAACUGUGGGAUCCCGAGAGUAAAGGUUUUCGCUUAUGCAGCGACCACUUCAUAUCAGGUACUUAAACCAACGUUUCCUCAACUGUGUGUGGUAUUUAUUUGAAAUGCUUUUAUUACGAUUCUUAGUGGGCUUCCUAAACUAAUUUUGGCGUGGCUUUUUCUGUCUUAUUACUCAUAGCAACAAGUAAACAUCACGUAAAACGUUGCCUCGUGAGUUCUGCGUGCUGCCGUUUAGGUGUUUUAUGAUCACAGCAAUUAACCGGCUAAGCUGUAUUUAAUUUUUAAGCAAUGGUUGAUCAAUUGUCAGAUCACACAUAAAAAGCACUUUGGAUUGCUAUUAUCUGUCUCACCGAGACAGAUCUCAGACAGAUCCUGAGACGCUCCUGCCUGACAUAUUUAUUUUAUUCACGGAAAAAACAAUCAAACUAGUGAUUUCUCUUGGCGUUCAGUUUAUACAUUUAAACAGCACAGCACUCUAUUUAAACUACUUUCAUGUAAAUCUGUUAUUUGUCCAUUCAUCCAUCCAUUUUCAUCCGCGUAUCCGGAGUCGGGUUGCGGGGGCAGUAGCGUUGAGAGGCCCAGACUUCCCUCUCUCCAGGGGUUCCCCGGCCAGGUCCGGUAAGAAGUCCGCUCCGACAGCUUCUGGCGUUUUUACAAAGCAUCCCAGGGGCACGGUAAGGGUCGGAGAUGUUUAGUCUAUUUAAUUUCUGACUAUAUAAAACAAUUUCUUCAGUUUUAAAGAGUGAAGUGUUUGUUUAGAUUCUUUUACCUGCCAAUAUGGCGUCUACUAACUGAGAGUCACGUGGGGUCUGGAGCUCUAUUGACUUCUAUGGAAAGAAUGGAAUGCAGAAGUCACGUGGUUCACGUAGCUUCGAAUAGUUCCAAACAGCCCCGCUGCUGCAUUGACUGCAGUUCAUUUUCGGCGUUUCGGAAGCAUUUUCUCCGGUAAGUUGAUGACAUCUCAUCAUUUUGUUGCAUUGUGAAGCGUUAGCUAAGUUAACCGCUUCGUACCAAAAUAAGCCAACAAUGAUAUUUUAUGUUGCCAGUUUUAGCUAGAUAACAUUUAAUGAGCUAACUGUGUGCAGCUUGUUGAUUGUGAGAAGGGGGACGAGCUGUAGACGGGUUUCUUUCAGCUUGUUUGAUUCUACGUUUUAAAAAUAUUCCCCACAGUUUGACAUAGUUUAUAAACUUUUUACAUUAUUAGUUUUAUUUGGGAUUUUUGUACAACAUGUUGCUGGUUGCUGUAUCAACACGAACAUGCAUGAGAAAUGGAAGCACAAAUGGAGACCAAUAAUAAAGAAAAUGUGAUUGUGAAGACAAGUAAUUAUUUAAUAUUUUUCAGGUAAUAACACUGACUGCAACGAACUGCUGAAGCAUGAGACAAACAGCAUUAUGAACUGGCUGAGCGGAGAGCUGACCAGGAACAACGGUGGUGGCAAAACCCAGUUGGGUCUGUGAUGGAGUGAUGCACGCCUGAAGUGAUUGCCAUCUCAUCCACAGGUUCCAACAUCAGGCAGAGGGAUACUCGUGUCCUGAAGAAACCUGUAGCCUGUUGAACCCACUGAAAAACAGAGUUGUACAGCCUAUUUGAUUGUCUGUUUACUCCAUUUAAUGCCUCUUGUGUUUGUCAUGACAAUUGCCUUCAAUUGAUCUUUAGUAAAAAAUUGGCCUAUUUUUUUUCCAUGUUGAAAACUUUCUUUCACCGGACUGAAUUAAUUUUUGUCUGUGUUUUACGUGCCCCUUCCAAGCUCCUAAUGUGUUCUUUUUGACUUUCUGUUUCCUCCCUUAGGUUUUCCAGCUGGGUUCCCUGGUUGCAUAGCCUUUUCCUUUCUCCUCCUGGCCCUGACGCCGGCUCCUCAUGGCUUCCUGGGAUGUCCCUCUCUCCUGAUACCAUCUCAUGUCUCUCCUCACUUUCCCUCACCUCAUUUGCCGCACUGCUGCUGCUUUCCUCAUUCUCUGUAAUUAUAAUGACACUGUUAGAAUAGAAAUUUUUAAAAACAAAAUAAAGACAAAUGAAAGAUUCGUAUUACAGUUAACUUGAGUACAAUAUGUGUGGUUGCUGGUCAGUGGAUCAACAUGCAGUGGUUCUGCUGUGCUUCACUGCAGGAUCCGUCCUCCUCCUUGGUUCAGGGCGAUGAACAAACACAGCAUCAGCCCUGAGUCUCACCUUGCCUUGUCUAAGCUUAGUAAACUGUCCCUCCUCAAAAUAUGCCUAUAGAGUGGUGUAUUAGUUUAUUUCCUGCCACAUUUAACAGUUUAAUUGCAGCCUUGUGCAGUUGAGAGCAAAACAUGCAGAGCCUUGAUAGAAAACAUUGGAGAGUGCACAUUAAACUCACUGCACACAGCUUUUUGUUAUUGUGAUCUCUGGUCAUGGUGAGGUUGCUCCUGCUGACUUAAGCUAACCAUUUUGUCUCUGCAUCUUUGGGUAAGCCAUAAUUCUGAUUCCUCCCUCAGACCUGCUACAUCCAUAUGCAGUGCAGCCAACCAUGUAAGAUAAUCAACCGAUAAAUGUAUUAUUAAAAUAUAGAAAUAUUGAACAAAGCCAAAAAUAUAGAGAUGUAAAAUUACAUUUUAAAAUUUUAUCCAACCAUAAAAUUUGUAAUUUCAAAUUUUAACCCUCAGACAAAUUUUAUGUUAAUAAUUAUCUAAAUAAAGUUAUUCACAAGAGUUUCAUUAGGUCUUGAGUACACUGCUCAUAAUUAAUGAUUCAGCUUAUUUGCACAUAUGUAAUGACCAAACGUAAUGUGGUUUGUAGAAAAUGUUUGUGUUGCCUAGCAACAGCCUUGUCUGAGUCUCCAUUUCGUGUUGGGACUAUUUGUGUUGGCGGAGCCUGAUAAAUGAUUAAAUAAAUGAACAAAUCAUAAUAUGUUGUUGCUUAUUGUUGUUAUAAAAAUAAAAUGAGCAGGUAGAACUGUUGUAUGAAAGCAAUAUCACACUCGAUGUCAUGCGUUGUUGCUGAAUAUCAGCACUGGUUGUGAUUAUCUACGGCACGAGGCCGUAGGCCGAGUGCCUACGACCGAGUCACACCAGUGCUGAUAUUCAGCAACAACGCACUCCCUCUCGUGUGAUAUUGCUUAAUUAGAUCGAAAAUGUCCUGUAUUUGAUGUAGCACUUUCUAGGGUUCUUCAACCCCCCAAGGCACUUUACAACACAAUCAGUCAUUCACCCACACACACACACAAUCAUACUGUGGUGGUGAUGAGCUACAUCAUCGCCACAGCUGCCCUGGAGCACAGUGGCAGAGGCGAGGCUGUCGAACACUGGUGCCACCGAUCCCUCCGACCACCACCAGCAUGCGAGGAGUGUUAAGUGUCUUGCCCAAGAACACGACUGCGACAGAUGGGGCUUUAACCUACAACCCUCUGGUUUCAGGGCGGGCCUCUGCUUCUGUCUCUUAGAUGUUGAAAUGUGACUCCUUCUACACAAACAUUUAGCUCAGUGUCUGUUUCAAAAACGUUCUUUAGAUGUGGCAGCCAUCUUGAAUUGGAUUGAUUUUCAACAUGAACCAGUAGACCACAUAAAACUCAGACAAAAACAGUUUUGCCCACCUUCCACCUUUUGAUGGUUCGUUAUCCACAGAGGAAUGAUGCAGUUUGAGUUGUGUCCAUGUGUUUGUUUUCUGAAGUCUACCAAGUUGUCUUCCAGUUCAACUGUGUUCAUGCUGUUUUUGAGUCAGGAACAAAACAUAAAUUUCUUCCCCAUGUGUUGUUUUAUAUGUGAGUUUCUGUCAGCUCAGAGCAUGUUUUUAUGUUUGUAAAGAUGUGUUUUUGAAAGACCUUUAGCUGGUAUGUAAAGCACAGUUUCUG